RNAcentral lists this ribosomal RNA (1342 nucleotides) under uncultured organism. Its description in RNAcentral is "bacterial SSU rRNA". It matches the Rfam family "Bacterial small subunit ribosomal RNA", at positions 19 to 1325 of the family's 1533-position model. The record is from RNAcentral.
CUGGCUCAGAACGAACGCUAGCGGCGUGGAUUAGGUAUGCAAGUCGAACGGGAACUAUAUAACAGAUCCUUCGUGGUGAAGACUUAUAGGGAACGUGGCGAAAGGGUGAGUAAUAAAUGGAUAACCUACCCUCCAGAUCGGGAUAAUCCAUCGAAAGGUGGGGUAAUACCGGAUGGCCUGGCAGUCUUAUCAGUCUGUCAGUAAAGGUUGCUUCGGCAUCUGCUGGAGGAGGGGUUCAUUUCCUAUUAGCUUGUUGGUAAGGUAAUGGCUUACCAAGGCAUAGAUGGGUAGGGGGCCUUAGCGGGUGAUCCCCCACACUGGGACUGAGACACUGCCCAGGUUCCUACGGGAGGCUGCAAUCGAGAAUCCUCCGCAAUGGGCGAAAGCCUGACGGGGUGACGCCGCGUGGACGAUGAAGGCCUAUCAGGUUGUAAAGUCCUAACAGGGAGUAUGAAAAUCGGCGGGUCCAAUAGGCCCGUUGAUUGACGUCAAUCCCAGAUGAAGUCACGGCUAAAUAUGUGCCAGCAGCCGCGGUAAGACAUAUGUGGCGAGCGUUGUUCGGAAUUACUGGGCUUAAAGCGCGCGUAGGCGGUUCAGUCAGUUAAUUUGUGAAAUCCCCCGGCUUAACCGGGGAAUCGCGGUUAAUACUGCUGAACUCGAGUACAAGAGGGGAGAGUGGAAUUCUGGGUGUAGCGGUGGAAUGCGAAGAUAUCCAGGAGAGGGCCGGUGGCGAAAGCGACUCUCUGGCUUGAUACUGACGCUGAGGUGCGAAAGCGUAGGUAGCGAACGGGAUUAGAUACCCCGGUAGUCUACGCUGUAAAUGAUGGGCACUGGAUGGUGGAGGCGCUGAUAGCUUUCUCCGUCGAAGCAAAUGCGUUAAGUGCCCCGCCUGGGGAGUACGGUCGCAAGAUUAAAACUCAAAGGAAUUGACGGGGGCCCACACAAGCGGUGGAGGAUGCGGCUUAAUUCGAGGACACGCGUAAAACCUUACCGAGGUUUGACAUGUAGGGAUUAAUCCGCUGAAAGCCGGAGGAUUGCCUUACGGUGUAACCUACACAGGUGCUGCAUGGCUGUCGACAGUUCGUGUCGUGAGAUGUUAGGUUAAGUCCUGAAACGAGCGAAACCCCUGUGCUUAAUUGCCAGCGCGUUAUGGCGGGGUCAUUAGGCAGACUGCCUCGGCUAACGGGGAGGAAGGUGGGGACGACGUCAAGUCAGCAUGGCCAUUAUACCUCGGGCUGCACGCGUCAUACAAUGGGCAGUACAAACAGGACCGAUCCCGCGAGGGGGAGGAAUCUCUAACUGCUCUCAGUUCGGAUUGCAGGCUGAACCCGCCUGCAUGAAG